This 70-nucleotide ribosomal RNA is filed under the name Mycolicibacterium neoaurum. Its description in RNAcentral is "partial 23S ribosomal RNA". The record is from RNAcentral. Lineage: Bacteria; Bacillati; Actinomycetota; Actinomycetes; Mycobacteriales; Mycobacteriaceae.
GGUUGCCGGCCGUGCGUGCCCCGUUGGGGGUCAGGCGGUUGCUGUUGUCGCCCUGCUUGGUGGGGGAUAG